AAAACACGCGGCUUCUAACCAAGAACAUCGCCGAGAACGGCCACACAAACGCACAUUCUAGUAAAAUUACCAAGAAAGCACACGCAGCUGCUAACCAAGAACAUCGCCAACAACGGCCACACAAAUGCACAUUCUAGUAAAAUUAACAAGAAAACACAAGCGGCUUUUCACCAAACGGCCACACGAACGCACAUUCUAGUAAAAUUACUGAGAAAACACACGUGACUUCUAACUGAGAACAUCGCCAAGAACAGCCACACAAACGCACCUUCUAGUAGAAUUACCGAGAAAACACACGCAGCUUCUAACCCAGAACAUCACCGAGAACGGCCACAUGAAUGUACGUUCUAGUAGAAUUACCGAGAAAACACACAUGGCUUCUAACCGAGAACAUCGCCAAGAAUGGCCACACGAACGUACAUUCUAAUAAAAUGACUGAAAAAACACACGUGACUUCUAAGGGGAAAAGAUGUUAUCAUUUUCACAUUUUCACAGAGGAAAAAGACGUGACCCAAGGCUUUAACACCCAGAAAAACUACCUUUCAAAUUCAAAGGACAAAAACUCUCGUGGAUAAGUCUGACCUCAGGGGCUAAUGAGGAAUUCAGUAGAGUGCACUUCAGACACCACAAGGACCAGUCAGUAAAACUAAGACUUGAAGACUGAAAGAAAGUAUGGUUAGGGCAGGACACAGAAAUAGCCAUCUUGCCAACCUGGCAAGGGAAGCAUGAAAACGGCCGUAUCCUUAUUCCUGUCUCUCCUGGAACCUGGUUGAGUUACUGAAAGCAGAUGUCAGCAUCAUCAAGCGCCCGUGGGCAGAGCUGACCAGGGGCUCUGGCCUUCAAAGGCUGCUCUGCCAAAGGCAUCAUCUGCAGAGGGGUCAUGACAGAGCUGGGGCUCAGAGCACUCAGGGUUCCAACCCAUCUCUUCCACCUACCAGCAAAGUAAGUGUCCUCAAGCCGUAACAACCUCUCAGCCUCAGUUUCCUCAUCCAUAUAUAAAGGUAACCCCUACCCUCUGUACUGAGAAUGCGGGACGUGCAUGGCAAAGGCUCAGAAUUAUUUUAAAUUGAAGUUCUCAUUCAUACCCUUCCCUCUCACAAAUGCAAUAAACUUAUGAAAAAUAAUAACAGUG
Molecule: non-coding RNA, 1132 nt
Organism: Macaca mulatta (Rhesus monkey)
Lineage: Eukaryota; Metazoa; Chordata; Mammalia; Primates; Cercopithecidae
Source: RefSeq, a predicted model, not a curated record